CGUAGAAGUCCGGAUGGGGAUCAUUUAUCGAGGAAGCUCGGCCGAAGUCUGCCUGCAAUAAAAGUUCGAAAGGAAUUCGCUCACAAUAGAAGCUCAGGUGGAGGCUUACAGUAGAAAUCCGACGUGGAUCGCUCGUAGUAAAAAUUCGGAGCAGACCGCUUGUAGUGGUAGCUCGGAGCAGACCGCUUGUGGUAGAAGUUCGGAGUAGACCGCUUGUGGUGGGGGCUCGGAGUCCGGCCCUUGCCAGAAUUUGGAUGAGGCCCACCUGCGAUAGGAGCUUGGGGCUGAUGUUCGGCUCCCGUAGGAGCUCGGAUGAAGUCUACCUG
RNAcentral lists this long non-coding RNA (326 nucleotides) under Elaeis guineensis (African oil palm). RNAcentral describes it as "long non-coding RNA (EGUI_LNC002891)". Lineage: Eukaryota; Viridiplantae; Streptophyta; Magnoliopsida; Arecales; Arecaceae. The record is from RNAcentral.